Molecule: ribosomal RNA, 164 nt
Filed under: uncultured bacterium
Lineage: Bacteria
Description: partial 16S rRNA
Rfam family: Bacterial small subunit ribosomal RNA
Source: RNAcentral
UAGGGAAUCUUCGGCAAUGGGGGCAACCCUGAUCGAGCAACGCCGCGUGAGUGAAGAAGGUUUUCGGAUCGUAAAACUCUGUUGUUAGAGAAGAACACGAGUGAGAGUAACUGUUCAUUCGAUGACGGUAUCUAACCAGCAAGUCACGGCUAACUACGUGCCAG